RNAcentral lists this ribosomal RNA (269 nucleotides) under Clostridium botulinum. RNAcentral's name for it is "partial 23S ribosomal RNA". It matches the Rfam family "Bacterial large subunit ribosomal RNA", at positions 1089 to 1360 of the family's 2925-position model. Lineage: Bacteria; Bacillati; Bacillota; Clostridia; Eubacteriales; Clostridiaceae. The record is from RNAcentral.
ACAACUAGGAUGUUGGCUUAGAAGCAGCCACUCAUUUAAAGAGUGCGUAAUAGCUCACUAGUCAAGAGAUCCUGCGCCGAAGAUGUCCGGGGCUCAAACUUACCACCGAAGCUAUGGGUGUACACUACGUGUACGCGGUAGGGGAGCUUUCUGUAUGGGUUGAAGUCGUACCGUAAGGAGCGGUGGACUGUACAGAAGUGAGAAUGCUGGCAUAAGUAGCGAGAAAUAAGUGAGAAUCUUAUUGGCCGAAAACCUAAGGUUUCCUGAGG